GGUUGCUGCUAAGUCGCAAGACGAUGUAUAGGAGCUGACGCCUGCCCGGUGCUGGAAGGUUAAGGGGAUCUGUUAGAGCAAUCGAAGCAGUGAACGUAAGCCCCAGUAAACGGCGGCCGUAACUAUAACGGUCCUAAGGUAGCGAAAUUCCUUGUCGGGUAAGUUCCGACCCGCACGAAAGGCGUAACGAUUUGGGCACUGUCUCAACAACAGAC
This 215-nucleotide ribosomal RNA is filed under the name Clostridioides difficile. RNAcentral's name for it is "partial 23S ribosomal RNA". It matches the Rfam family "Bacterial large subunit ribosomal RNA", at positions 1818 to 2032 of the family's 2925-position model. The record is from RNAcentral. Lineage: Bacteria; Bacillati; Bacillota; Clostridia; Peptostreptococcales; Peptostreptococcaceae.